CUUCGUACUCAAGUCCCUGUUCGGGCGCCAGGUGUCCUGACCCGGGCAGGAC
RNAcentral lists this microRNA precursor (52 nucleotides) under Tupaia belangeri (northern tree shrew). Its description in RNAcentral is "miRNA (ENSTBEG00000020008.1)". The record is from RNAcentral. Lineage: Eukaryota; Metazoa; Chordata; Mammalia; Scandentia; Tupaiidae.